CAGCAGCCACGGUAAUACAGAGGGUGCGAGCGUUAAUCGGAUUUACUGGGCGUAAAGCGUGUGUAUGCGGCUUCUUAAGUCGGAUGUGAAAUCCCUGAGCUUAACUUAGGAAUUGCAUUCGAUACUGGGAAGCUAGAGUAUGGGAGAGGAUGGUAGAAUUCCAGGUGUAGCGGUGAAAUGCGUAGAGAUCUGGAGGAAUACCGAUGGCGAAGGCAGCCAUCUGGCCUAAUACUGACGCUGAGGUACGAAAGCAUGGGGAGCAAACAGGAUUAGAUACCCCGGUAGUCCCUGUCUCUUAUAA
Molecule: ribosomal RNA, 301 nt
Filed under: uncultured bacterium
Lineage: Bacteria
Description: partial 16S ribosomal RNA
Rfam family: Bacterial small subunit ribosomal RNA
Source: RNAcentral